Molecule: ribosomal RNA, 301 nt
Filed under: uncultured bacterium
Lineage: Bacteria
Description: partial 16S ribosomal RNA
Rfam family: Bacterial small subunit ribosomal RNA
Source: RNAcentral
CAGCAGCCGCGGGAAUACAGAGGGUGCGAGCGUUAAUCGGAUUUACUGGGCGUAAAGCGUGCGUAGGCGGCUUUUUAAGUCGGAUGUGAAAUCCCUGAGCUUAACUUAGGAAUUGCAUUCGAUACUGGGAAGCUAGAGUAUGGGAGAGGAUGGUAGAAUUCCAGGUGUAGCGGUGAAAUGGGUAGAGAUCUGGAGGAAUACCGAUGGCGAAGGCAGCCAUCUGGCCUAAUACUGACGCUGAGGUACGAAAGCAUGGGGAGCAAACAGGAUUAGAUACCCCCGUAGUCCCUGUCUCUUAUAC